This 550-nucleotide long non-coding RNA is filed under the name Homo sapiens (human). Its description in RNAcentral is "HSALNT0389515". Lineage: Eukaryota; Metazoa; Chordata; Mammalia; Primates; Hominidae. The record is from RNAcentral.
GUGCUAAGCACCAGUGACAUUCUGAGGUCAUGGCACGAAUCACAGUGGGGCCUUGCCCGGGUCAGCAGCGCCCAGAGUCAGGGUCCUCCGCUGCCUGAGGCGUCAACAUGCCUGCCUGCAAUGUGUUUGUGCACGUGCGUGCACAUGUGGCCUAGGGGAUGCCGAAUUCCAGGGUCCAGAAAGAGCUUGGGAUAAAAAGAAACUUCAAGGGGACGGCUUUGACCUGGGCUGAGUCUACCUGUGCCAUCCAACUGGAGUCUCAAGUCCUGAGGCAGGACGUCCAGAUGCCCCAGUGCAGGGUCCUCCUGAUCAACACCUGCUCCCCUGUACUCAUUAGCAACCUCACCCACCCUACUCUCAAAGCACACUUGGCUCUCGUAUCCAGGAGCUCUGCAUCUGUAGAUUCAGCAACAGCAGAUGGAAAAUAUUCAGAAAAUAAAUUGGACGGUUAUGUUUCUAUUGAACAUGUGCAGACUUUGUUCUUGUCAUCAUUCCCUAAAGAAUACAGUAUCACGACCAUUUAUGUAGCAUCUGCAUUGUAUUACACAUC